Molecule: ribosomal RNA, 389 nt
Filed under: uncultured bacterium
Lineage: Bacteria
Description: bacterial SSU rRNA
Rfam family: Bacterial small subunit ribosomal RNA
Source: RNAcentral
GACGAACGCUGGCGGCGUGCUUAACACAUGCAAGUCGAGCGGUAAGGCCCUUUCGGGGGUACACGAGCGGCGAACGGGUGAGUAACACGUGGGUGACCUGCCCUCAGCUCUGGGAUAAGCCUGGGAAACCGGGUCUAAUACCGGAUAUGACUCCAUGACGCAUGUUGUGGGGUGGAAAGCCUUGUGCGGCUGAGGAUGGGCCCGCGGCCUAUCAGCUUGUUGGUGGGGUGAUGGCCUACCAAGGCGACGACGGGUAGCCGGCCUGAGAGGGCGACCGGCCACACUGGGACUGAGACACGGCCCAGACUCCUACGGGAGGCAGCAGUGGGGAAUAUUGGACAAUGGGCGCAAGCCUGAUCCAGCCCACGCCGCGUGAGUGAUGAAGGCCU